CCAGAUUUUCUCUGUCGUUCAUUAGCGAGGCGGACGUUGAUGCAGGGAGGAUCGUUCGGUCAGAACAAGCUGGAGAGAGACCAGAAUCCCGGCUGAGCAGCAGAAGGAGGCGCUGCAGGAAACCAGGAGGAUGAGAACCAACAGAGCCUGAACUGAUUCUGAUGACUACAUCAUGCUGCUGGAAUCCAGACAGGAGAACAAACAUCUUUCAUUAAUCUGAGCGGCAACCAGCGAGCGAUCCCAGCAGAGGAACAAACAUUAAAACAUUUAAAGAACGAAAACUCUGCAGGAGGACAAUAAAAAAGCACCAGAUAAUGGACUGAAGAUGGAUUGAUCCACCAGGAAUCUCUGCCCACAAAACAAACACAAAGCCUUGAGAAAUGUCUGUAAAGUAAAGAAGAGGAAGAAGAAGAAGAAAUGUUUAUGCAUG
This is a long non-coding RNA of Poecilia latipinna (sailfin molly), 430 nucleotides long. RefSeq lists it as uncharacterized. The record is from RefSeq and is a predicted model, not a curated record. The transcript has 3 exons. NCBI's taxonomy places the organism in Eukaryota, Metazoa, Chordata, Actinopteri, Cyprinodontiformes, Poeciliidae.